GACGAACGCUGGCGGCGUGCUUAACACAUGCAAGUCGAACGGACGGGCUCUGCCUUUGUGGGGUCCCCGAGUGGCGAACGGUUGAGUAACACCUCACUAAUUUGCCCUUGCCUUUGGGAUAACUUCCGAAAACUGGAUCUAAUACCGCCUCCGAGCUCCCCCUGCAUGGCGUGGGUUGGAAAGUUUCGGCGGUGGGGGCGGCACUCGCGACUUAUCAGCUGGUCGGUGGGUUACUGGCGCACCAAGGCUGUGACGGGUAGCCGGCCUGCGCGGGUGACCGGCCACAUUGGGACUGGGAUACGGCCCAGACGGAGACAGGAGGCAGCAAUGGGGAAUAAUGGACGAUGGGCUGAAGCAUGAAGGAGGAACGCCGCGUGCGGGAUGACGGCCUGCGGGUUGUAGACCGCUUGCGGCAGGGAGGGAGAGUGGGAGGAGGGAAUGGGUAUAGAAGCACCGGCUAACUACGUG
This 468-nucleotide ribosomal RNA is filed under the name uncultured bacterium. Its description in RNAcentral is "partial 16S ribosomal RNA". It matches the Rfam family "Bacterial small subunit ribosomal RNA", at positions 28 to 507 of the family's 1533-position model. The record is from RNAcentral.